This 11293-nucleotide long non-coding RNA is filed under the name Coffea arabica (coffee). Its description in RNAcentral is "long non-coding RNA (CARA_LNC000121)". Lineage: Eukaryota; Viridiplantae; Streptophyta; Magnoliopsida; Gentianales; Rubiaceae. The record is from RNAcentral.
AUCACCCUAUCUUUCACCAAAAAUCAUGAAAAUUAUACUACAACACUCUUACAACUCCUACAAUACAAAUAUGAUUUUAUUUCGACAAGAAAACAAGAUAAAAGGGCUAAAAUAAAGCAAAACAGUCCCCUAAGACUCUUUUUUUCAUUUUGGCAUUUUUUCAAAUGGUUAACAUGCAUGCAUAAGACACAUUUCCUUUUCCUCAAUCUAGUUCAUGUCAUUUCCCAAAUUUCAGCAACACAACAAUUACAAUAAAAAGCCAGCAAACAAGAGAAAUUAAUAUACAACAACAACAAUAAAACCAGCAAAAGCAAGAGAAAUUGGGCAUUGAAACAUGGAUGUAAAUAUGAUAAAAAAACUGGAAAAUACCUCAAUGUAGGUGGUAAUCCCUUGACCAAGAUGUUUGACACAAUUUCCAAGCCUUGAGCGUAUCUUCCUAGCUCCCUUUGGUGAUUGCUUUGUGUGUGGAUGUGUUAGAAGAAAUCGAGAGAUCGAGAGGGAGAAAGAGCCGAGACAAAAAAUGGAGAGCUUUUUUUUUUUUUUGUCUUUGUUCUUUUGAGGGAGAGAGCCGAGAGGGAUGGAAAUUUUCUUUUUCUUUUGUGGCUUCUCUUCUGUGUCCUGUGGGAGAGAGCCGAGAGAGGGAGUGUUUUUUUGUUUCUUUUUCGGUCUUGUCUGAUGGUCCAUCCUGAGAGCAGAGAACCGAGAGGGACUUGUAGCCAAAGUGGAGCUUGUGUGUAGGAUCUGCCAAAAUGAUGAUUUCUCAACUAAUGAAAAGAAAAGUCCAUGGAUAUUGAGUGUGAAAUGGGUUAAUAGUUAAUUUGGUGAAACAAAAUGAUCAUGAUGAUUUUUUAUUUUUUAGUUUCUUUUUUUUUGUGUUUUUUUUUCUUUCUUUUCUCUUUUUUUUUUUUAAACAAACCUGCAAAAAAUGAGAAAAAUGCACAUUAAAAUGCAAGAAAAUAAAUAAUUCAUUAAAUAGAAAAAAUUCAAGAAAACAUUGAAAAUUGACAAAAAUUUGGUGUCUACAGCUUGCCCCUCUUUGUCUAGAGUUUCAAAGAAACUCAAAACAAAAACGUAGACACCAAAUUGCUUACCUGUCUCUUCUAGCUGUACCUAAGCUAAAAUAAACAAGCCAACACUUGGCUGAAAUUAUUGGACAAAAUGAUGCAAUAACAUUGCAGAAAAUGUGACCGAACCCAUGUAGAGUUGCCUACGUAUCCCACCAUGAGAAUCAGGUCAAACGUAGUUCGAAUGCAAGUGAACCACAAUGAAACAAUUGCAUUGACCAACUGUUAUUUUUGCAAAGUCGAAGAAGUCUGAGCUCUCAGAACUUCUAAACAUGAAGCACAAGAUAACUGAGAAAGCACAAUUAUUAAUCAAAAUAGUCAAUAAAAGUAACUUGUCAUAACUAGAAAAAAAUGCGCGGAGGGACGCGAUUACGCUCCAAGAAGGGGGAUAGAAGUGUGCGCGGCGGGCGCUGAGACUCACCAACAGAACUUUAAAUUGUCAAGAAGGGGAGAUAGAAGGGUGCGCGGUGGACGCUGAGACUCACCAACAGGAAAUUAAAUUUGAUUUUUUUAGAAAAAGAUACGUGGAGGAACGCGAUUACGCUCCAACAGGAAAUUAAAUUGUCAAGAAGGGGAGAUAGAAGGGUGCGCGUGGACGCUGAGACUCACCAACAGAAACUUAAAUUGUCAAGAAGGGGGAUAGAAGGGUGCGCGGUGAACGCUGAGACUCACCAACAGGAAACUAAAUUUGUCAAGAAGGGGGAUAGAAGGGUGCGCAGUGGACGCUGAGACUCACCAACAGGAAAUUAAAUUUUCUAAGAAGGGGGAUAGAAGGGUGCGCGGUGGACGCUGAGACUCACCAACAAGAAAUUAAAUUUGAUUGCCAGAAGUAAUAGAUUGGUGAGAUAAGACCUAAGCCCAAUAAAAUAAAACGGUUAGUGGGAUACAACCCAAGCCUGCCGUAGUUAGUGUGAUACAACCCAAAUCCAACAAAAUAAAACGGUUUUGAAAUAAUUUUUCAAAUUGCAAUUUUUCAAAAUUUGUCCCAGUGUAGGGCAUCCUCUUUUUUUUUUUUUUUUUCAAAGCAGAUUUGAAAUGCAUUUCCAAAAUUGGAGCUCACUCUUUUUGAUACUUGCAUCAAUGUAAAUCAUGUUUAGGAAAGGCCACAUUUUCUUGCCUUCGAGAGGCCGAAAGAGUGAUCAUAUAAUACCAAUACCAUGUGAUUCCUUGUGGUCCUUUUGGCCCUGAGAACCAUGCAAGCAUGAUCUUUUGAUAUCAAAACUGCUCCUCAAGAGUUGUGCUGCAACUUGUUUUGAAUCUUCUCAAUUUUCUAGCAUCAGUUAGCCAUACCUCACUUUGUACCACAAAUCAACUUUUCUAAUGAUCAGAUUUGAAUGAAUGGCCAGUAUUUCAAGUGUCGGCAUCUCGCUUUUCGUUCAUGAUUCUCUUGUGCUCCAAAAUCUCACCUUGAUGACCUUAACGUUUCGGAUUUUCACAAAGGUCACACCUUUUAUUUUAUUUUGUUUUCAUUUUCUAUUUUUUCCUUUAUUUUUGUCUUCCUUCUCUUUUUUUUUCUGUCUUUUUUUUUUGUUUUUUCUUCUCUUUUUUUUGUUCUUUUUUAUUUUUCUUUUUUUGAGCAGACACCCUUUCAGGUUUUCACCUAAUGAACAAAUCUUGUCAAUGACCUUUAUCAACUCAAAAAUGUGUUUUAAGGAAUGAUGGCAUCAGUGCAACAAUCCUUCCCAUGCAAAAUUGGUGAAGGUGUAUUGACAUCAUUUGCCAUUUGAUUAAGUGAUUUUUAGUAGAGAUACUACUAAGGCAGAGGUCAGGACUUCAUGAUUUUUAUUAUGGGGUCAAGUGGGGUGUGGAAGAAAUGUUAAGGCUUCAAAGCAAAAUCUCCAAAGAGGUUUCAAAAACCCUAAGACCGCGUUCUAUCAAUAUUUGCCCAGUAUAAGGGUAUUAAAACCGAAAAAAUUGCCCCAAUUUGGCUUUUGACUCUUUUUUUUCUUUUUUUAUGACAAAUAGGAGAUAAAAAUUUACCCCAGUAUGGGUUUGCAAUCUUUAUGAGGGCUAUCAAAUGAAGGGUUAAAUUAUUCUGGAGGUUCAAUGGGGAAAACUAGGGGUAAGAUGUUCAAAGAGAAAAGAAAAAAGGCUCGCCUUUGAUCCGCCAUAGAUGGUAUUUCAAAAAGAAAAAUCACAUAAUCAGAUAAAAAAUUUAUUACACAUGUCUGAAUUGAUUGGCAGAGGAAAGACCUGUCCAUCCAGUUCUGUAAGAAUGGAUGUUCCUCCGAAUAGCAUUCUUUGAACAAUAAAUGGCCCUUGCCAUGUUGGAGCAAACUUUUCUUUAACCUCCUCUUGAAUCAGAAGAAUUUACUUCAAAACUUUAUCCCUCACUUCAAAUAAGCGAGAUUUGUCUUUCUUGUCAUAACCAACGAACCAUCCUUUGUUGAUAACAUUGUUCAUGGCAGGUAGUAUUCAACCUCUUUUUCAUCUAUUGGAGAUAGCCACUCAUUGUGCUCCUUGAUCCAUUUAAUUUCUUCUACCAGAGUCUUCGUCCAAAUGCGCAAGGACGGGAUCUCGGUUUUGGCAUGUAUUACCACUUCCAUUUCGAAGCAUAAGAGGGUAAGGUGUUGCCCUAACUUAGAAAUGUAAUCUCCAAGUGAAAUGCCCCCAGAGUUCAAUUGCAAUAUUUGCAAAAUUAAAUGAAAGACUCUUGUCUUUUUUCUUUUUUUUUCUUUUCACUCCCUCUUUUUCUUUUCUCUUCUUUUUUUUUUCCUUUUUUUCUUUUUUUUCAUUUUCCUUUUUUAUUUAUUCCCCCUGUUUUCUCUUUUCUUCCUUUUUUUUUCUUUUUUUUUUUUUUUUUUUUUUUUCCCCCUUUUUCUUUUCUCUCUUUUUUUUUCAAGUUGGCUGCUGAAAUAUGUACUUCUUUGAAUAAAUAGCCGAUCCUUCACUUUGCAAUAUAACAUUAUUGCCUCCUUUUUAUUCAUGAUUGACCUCCAAAUUUGCAAGUUUUGAGUUGCGUCUUUUCCUCGAACUUAACCAUAAACACCUGCACAAGGGGAUUUUUCAAAGCACAUGAGUUUUUCAAAAUCUCUUUUUUUUUUUGUUUUUUUUUUUGCAAUGAUAUAACUAUUAAGACUCAUGCAAAGUGUUGAAUUAUCAAAAUUUGAAAAUUAUGUACUUGAUCUUGGACAUACCCUACAAAUAUAUUAUAAAAUUUUGCCACAAUUUGAACUUAUUUGGUGAAAUCUCACAGAUAUAUUACAAAAAAUUUACCCCAGAUUGAGCUUAUCUUAGUUGCAAAAUAAUCAGAUGCAGUGUGAAUAGGAACUACAAUUUUUUUGUUAAAAAAAAUGAAGAAUUUAAAUGUCAUAUCCAAAUUCAUAUAGAAGACUUCAUGAUAAAUAUCUUAAAACAAGAUCAAAUUGCAAAAGAUCUCUUCCUCAUUUUGGGAUCGGUGUUGAGGGAAAAGGGUCCCUUUCUUGUUAGCUCACUUUUUAGGACCAAUCAAAUGGGUAUUAUUUAGGAUUUUGAGGUGGCUCAGGGAGAUGAUAUAUCAUAAUCUGUCUUUUUUUUUUUGUGUAUCCAACACAUUCAAUAUCACAUCUUAGUGAAAGCAAAUGGUUUAUCACUCUUAUUUCUUGAGAAAAUUUAGUCAACAUAUAAGCUCUAUAGGCUUGUAAUGUAUGGGUAGAAACAAUAGCUAAACAUAUGGAAACAAGUUAUAGUCUCAUGAUCACACAUGAUUGAUAGGUUCCUUAAAGGCAAAAUCUUCACUUUAAAUUGUCAUGAAAAAUAAGUCAACAAUGGAUUUUAUAAGCUUGUAAUGUGGCUUGACAAUGAUAGCUAAAAGAAAUAAAAUUUCCAAGGUCAAUGCACUUAAGAUCGCAUUCCUUCCCAAAAAUUGCCACAGUUUUGGACUUAAAAUCCAGAAUCCCAUUUUGACUCCCUUUUUCUUAUCAAUCCUCUUUCUUCUUCAACAAUCACUAAGAGGAAUGCAGCAUUGGAUGUCUUCGCAUUUUUCUUUUUUUCUUUCAUCAUUUUUCAUUUUUUCACAUUUUUCUUUUCUCUUUUUCUUUUUAAAAAAAAAUUUUUUUUUACCAAUACUGAUAUCCCAAUAUCAAUGAUAAAAUUGAAAACUCCCUAAUUUGGAGUGUAGAUGGCCCCUCUUUCUUUUUUGAUAUUGAAGACCAAAUAUCAAUGGUAGAGUCAAAUUCCCCCAACUUGUAGCAUUUUCUCCUUUCUUCUUCUUCUUUUUUUUUUAAAAAAAUCUUCCCCAGUGUGGGGGUGCAAUCAUAAGUGCUUUUGAAACGAACCACCAAUUUAGGCUCAAAUGAGGAAGCAAAGGAUAAAAGUGUUUAGAUGGUAGAAACGAUGGCCGAAGCAUCAUUCUUAUUUCUCAUGACAACCAAAGUAAAGAAUAACCCGUUGAGAAAAUCCAUUUCCAUUUGACAUUCGAAAAUUUUUCCAUUGGGUCAUGAUCAUUGAGGCUUUUAUUUGAAACGAAAUCCUAUUUUUUGAAGUCUCAAAUGGGAAAAUAAAUGAUAAAAUCUGUAUAGAUAGAGAAACGAAAACCUAAAGUAUCAUUCCAAAUUUCCAAAACAAAUAAGAAGUAAUGUACAUUUUUGCUUUCACUCAGAUGUUGAUUGAAUCUGGUUAGACAUACUUGACAUUUUCACAGUAAAAUUGUCUCACUUUGAAGCUAGUCAAUUAAUGCGACUGACUUUGGAGGUUCAAUAGAAGUGGACAAAAAAAAUGAAAAAGAAAAGUGUCGGGGUUGAUAUUUUAUGACAAACUAUCAAAUUUGAAUGACCACUUUUGUUUCCGACUACUCUCAUUGAAUAGUUUAGACCACAAAUCUAGUGUAUGCAAAGAAUUUUGGAGAUUGGACAUACACUCAUGAAUUUUCGAACAAGAGGUCGAAAAAUUUCAAUUUAACCUUAUUUCUUAAAAUCUACCAUGAAAUCUCCCAAUGAGCAAAUAAAAGAAUGAAUAUAUACAAAACAAUAAUUGUUUAAAUAAAAACUUUAUUAUUCAAAUGUUUGAAAAUUUUUUUUCUCAAAUAUAAUACAUGUGAGAAAAAAAAAUCUCUAAAGAAUACAAUUUCAAAUAUAUAAACACUUUUCUCUUUCUAUCUUUUGAGACAAAAUGUAUUAGAAACAAUGAAUCAAAAGAUUUUAAGAUGCUCUAGACUGGCAUUUUUUUACAUUGUAAAAUCUGCCCAAGAAUCAAGUAACACUUGUAAUUUUCAAAAUUUAUCAAACCCAAAAAUAUUAUCAGAUAUAGAAAAAUUUUUUUACCUUGCUGAAAUAACUUUUAUAAAUACAGGGGAAGGAGAAAAUAAAAGAAAAAUACCCAGAGUUAGUAAACAAAACUGUAAAAUCGAUAUGCAUGUCCUAUGGGGAGCCCUUUUAUACCAAGGGUUGGCCUAGUAUGAAAAAUGCAAUCCUCUGGGUAGACACCAUACAAUACCUGAUGGAUCGAUCGACUUAUUGAGAUUCGAUUGAAGAGCAUUUGAAAAAAAAAAAUGGCCUAAUUGGAUUUUUUUUCGAAAAUGAUAGAUAACUAACAAAAUGAGGACAAAGUCCGAAUGGAUUGAUUGUUUUGAUUGACACAUAAAAUGAUAUUAAAAAUCAAUUUAGUGUGAAACACUUAUUUUUGAAAAGGAUUGAAAUGUCUCGACUAGUUUUUCGGUGAACCAUAGAUCGAAACUUUAAAAGAGAAUAAAUGAGUUAAAUGAAUCGAAUGAAAUUGAUGGUUAGUUCAAAAAUUGACUGAUUAUCCUGAAAGUGAAUAAAACUGAUCCAAUGGAUUGGAUGAAAUUAAGAAUUUAUUCAAAAAAAAUAAAGUUGACUAAAUGAAUAAUGAAUUGUAUGGAAUGAUAAUUUUUCAAAAUGAUUGUAUUGUCCUAAAAAUGAAUAAAUUGGUCAAAUGGAUUGGAUAGAAUUGACAGUUUAUUCAAAAAUCGACUGGAUCACUGGCCAAAUGAACAAAAUGAAAUUGAUGAUUUAUUCAAAAUGAAAUUGAAUGAAAAUGAAAUUAAAAAUGAGCAAAAUUGUAUGGAUCGAAUCAUCUAUAAAAAAAAUCGACUCAAUCAUCUUAGAUGUAAAAAUGGAAUGAAUGAAAUUGAUGAUUUAUCAAAAUCGAUGGAAUUGUCUGCCCAUUGGUAGUUUUAAAAAUUCAUUGUGAUUCAUUAGUCUAUGAGUUUUUUAAAAUCAAGAUUUGGCCUUGACAUACUUAUCAUCUCAACAAUGAGGAAUUUGUGAAUUUCUUCAACUUAAUGUCCUUUAUGCAAGGGAUUUUUACCAAUUUUGAUAAAAUGGCCAAAAAGUGAUUAUUAAAGGCUCAUAUUCUAAUGCGUAAAAACUGUUCCAUCAUUCUCAAUGUCGUCACACUGAAGGGAUCGAAUUCUACCUUAUCUUGUGCACUACCCCUUUGGAUGGUACAAAAAUAUAAACGUGCAAUUCUCAUUAGAUUAUAUAUCCGAGACAAAAGGUGAUUUAUUCCUAACGUGGGAUUCCCUAAAUGGCAUUCCCUCUAUGGUUGAUGCAUGAUACCAAUUUAUUAAAGCGUAUGAAAUAAUUGAAAUAUGACCUAAAAGUGCCCCAUUUAAAUGCCAGGGUAAGCCUAAAAUGAUGUGCAAUAUAUAUAUGUAUGCAAUUAACUAAAAUUUAAACAUGCUUGAUGUAAAAGGCGGUCUUAUCCUAAACGAGUACCAUGUUAGGACUCUUAUUUCUAAAGUUUGUGUAUGCAGAAAAAGGGGAAACAAGGAGAGUUUAGUUCAACAAGUAGCAUAUAACACGUAGUGACAAUAAAUGAUACAAGAAUGAAAAAUAAAUAAAGCAAAGAAAAAGGGGUGAAAUCCCUUCCCUCGUGUCUAGUGUUCCUAAUUGGGUAGAGUUGACUCUAUCCUAGGUAAUUUCUAAUAUGCAUGCAUGAGGUAUGGCUUACUAAUGCAUCUAGACUCGAUAAGGUUUCAGGCUCCCAAACCUUCAGACCAAAAGGCUAAGGGUCAUCAAUCCCAAGACCUUCGGUCGGCUUGAAUGAUCCCUUAGGCAUCGUUAUGGGCGCAGAGCACACCAUCCGCCUACCUAAGGAAAUCGAUCCUAAUCCAACAAGGAGAUGUGGGAUGGCGCCCACGAAACAUAAAAAUAGGAUAAAAAUAAUGCAUGCACGUAUGAAGUGCUUCCUUUUGAGGGAGAGAUUAUAAUGAAAACAUGCGUGAAUGCUCUAAAGUGGUAUUUCCCUCCACCCAAGAUGCAAGCGCGAUACAAAUAUAUACAAACAUAAAUAAAUGAAAGUAAAUAACAUAUCAUCGUAUACAUGAAUAUCGAGAGACAGUCGCGUGUGUGAAAUGCAAUAAUCCUAAAAAUGAGGAAAAAGAAAAAGUAAAAGGAAUAUGCAACCCAAACAUCCAAAUAUGAUAAGUGAAAGGAUUAGAAAAAGAAAAGACAACUAAGCCAAGUGCUUGGACUCUCUAGUGUCCCCAUUGAAGUCGCCAAGUUGUCGCGCCCCAUUUUUUGCGAUGGAAAAAGAAAGUGUUUAUAAAAAAAUGUGUUUACAAGGGAUGUGAUUUUAUUUUAAAACAAGUGAAAAAGAACCUAGAAUGGGACUUAAAAAAAUGCGACAAUUUGUAUCCAAAUUUAGUCUAAAAGAGUUUUUAAGAAAAAUAGGAGUCGCCAUUUGGUAUUGAGUUUUGGUGUACCAAGUCACCCCAAAAAAUAUUUUUUGACAAAAAUAAAAUAAAACAAAAUCCUUUUUGACAACUCCAGGUCUUUGAAAAAAAAAGAGAAAAAUGGAUUCGGGAGUCACGAUUGAAGAAAGGGAAGGCAAAGGUUCGAUUAACUCAAACCUAAGGCACCCUUUCAACCUAGUCUAAGCUAGUUGCGAGGUUUAGUCAAAAAUUUUCUAAUCUAACCCUUAAUUUUAUCAUAUUUGGAUGUUUCCUACAUGGAUGCAAAUCUAAAUUUAUAAAAAAUAUCGAAAGGGACAAAAUGUUCAUUCAAGGGUUUAAUUGAACGAAUCGCAUUAAUUGCGAAGGCCAAAAUGAUUUUUGAAAGUGUCACGAGUAUGCGAAUGAUGAAAUUAAAAUAAAAGAAAAGAAAUUAAAUUAUAUACAUAUAUAUAAGUGAUCAAAGAAAAAGGAAUGCAGCAUAAAGGGUACGGGAGACAAAAACUCGUGACAUAAUUUUUUUAUAUAUGGAUUAAUAGGCUAUUUAAACUAAAAAGUUAUAAUCACCCAUUUCCCAUGUUUGAAAAAUAAUUAUCCUAACAUGAACAAGCAAAUGAACUAGCUUAAAUGAAAUGUAAUUCUAAAUGACAUGAUUAGCACCUAUAGAGGGUAGGGGAUAAUAUAAUAGGGAAUAUCAUACGAAUGAGAAAAGAUCCUAAAAAUGAAAAUAUGCAUGAAAAUGUAGUGAAUAGCACACAAAGAUGAAUCUAGCGCAAGACGACCUAAAGGGUCUAGCGUUGGACUAGCCCAUUUCUAAAAGUCCUUACUAGCGUUGGACUAGCAAGUAAGCGGAGGGAGAAGCCACAACUAGCAUUGGACUAGUGUAAUAAUGUCAUGCAUUAACAAUUCAUAGUGAAAUAAAUAAAGCAUAAAUUAAAACACAUAAACACAUAAGAGCACGUAGCACAUAACACGUAAACAUAAUAUUUAGAUGCCAAAAAUCCUAAAAAAAGCGGAUAAAACAUAUAACACAUAAGCCACAUAAACACGCAACCUAUCUAUUACAUCGAAGAAUCUAACUACAAUCUAAAAUGGGAAAGAUAUGAUAAAAUAAAAUUAGUUAUCCCAUCUAUUACAUUUUGAGGUAUUUAAAUGCCUCUCGAGUAAUUAUAAAAAUUAACUAAACAAAUAUAAUAUAAGAAAAUUUAAAUGAACAUUUAAAUCCAAUAAACAAAGCAUAUAAAAAUAUAUAAACACAUAGGAACACAUAGGAGCACAUAAGAGCACGUAAUUGGCAUUGAAAUAAUAAAAAUAGGAGUACCUCCCGUUUGAAGCGGUGAAUAAAUGGAGUCAAAUUGUCCUAUUUAUACUCACAAUGAACAAAAGAAUCAUGGCACCAAUUUAAUUUAAAAAAAUAAUAAAGUACUAAAUUCACACUAAUAUGUCAAACGCAAAGAAAUUUUAAAAAAAUCUAACAAUUACAAGUUAAGUAUAUUCAAAAGUAACAUAAUUGGCUAUUAAAGAAAAAGAAGCAAUCAUAAUAAAGAGAGUCAAAAUUCACUAGGGACUGAAUUGCAAAAAUUGAAAAAACUUUGGGGACAAAAUUAUAUUUUUCCAAAAUGUAGGGAUCAAGAUUAAAUAAAAGAUAAAAUUCAGGGACCAAAAUGAAAUUAAUUUAAGGACCUACAUGCAAGAAAUUUAAAAUGGUCUGGGCGCAGUGAAAAAUACUUGAAAGCAUAGGGACUGAUAUGCGAAAACGUAUUCUUAUUCCUUAACAAAUCAGGCCACUGGACAUCAUUUUUAUUUCUUUGGGCCAAAUAUUCCUAAACCCAGCCGAAAGUCCAAGAGAAAUGAGCAAGCCAGCCCAUCUUUUUAUCACUCAAGCCCAAUCAAAAAAAAGCACGGGCUCUGACCUUCUAGCCCAACCGAAACCCAAAAGAAAUAGCACAAACCCAUUUUCAAAACCCAACUAAAACUAACUCUUGGCCCAUCAGAAAACACACAUUAGCCCAAACGUUUUUUUUUUCUUUUUUUUUUUCUUUCUCCUUCUUUUCUCCACUUCCAGCCGUUUUUCUUUCUCUUCUUCGGCCAGCUGAAGCGGCCAUGGCUGCCGCCGGAAUGCCGAAUUUUUCCGGUCACAAAAAUUAUCAAAAUACAUACUUCAACUCGAUUUUUCGCGUAGAUUCCAUUUUACGGAGUUAGUUUUUACCAAAAACGACCCAAAAGUGUCCAAAAUGUCAAAAAAAAACAGUCCAGUUUUUAUUUUUUCUAAUCACUCUAUUUUUCACCAAAAAAUCAUGAAAAUUAUACAACACUCUAUAAAUCCUACAAUACAAAUAUGAUUUUAUUUCGACAAGAAAAACAACAUAAAAGGGCUAAAAUAAAGCAAAAACAGUCCCCUAAGACUCUUUUUUUCAUUUUGGCAUUUUUUUCAAACGGUUAACAUGCGCAUGCAUAAGACACAUUUCCUUUUCCUCAAUCUAGUUCAUGUCAUUUCCCAAAUUUCAGCCAACGCAACAAUUACAAUAAAAAGCCAGCAAACAAGAGAAUUAAUAUACAACAACAACAAUAAAACCAGCAAAAGCAAGAGAAAUUGGGCAUUGAAACAUGGAUGUAA